Molecule: ribosomal RNA, 448 nt
Filed under: uncultured bacterium
Lineage: Bacteria
Description: partial 16S ribosomal RNA
Rfam family: Bacterial small subunit ribosomal RNA
Source: RNAcentral
CCCAGACUCCUACGGGAGGCAGCAGUGGGGAAUAUUGCACAAUGGGGGAAACCCUGAUGCAGCGACGCCGCGUGAGCGAAGAAGUAUUUCGGUAUGUAAAGCUCUAUCAGCAGGGAAGAAAAAAAUGACGGUACCUGAGUAAGAAGCACCGGCUAAAUACGUGCCAGCAGCCGCGGUAAUACGUAUGGUGCAAGCGUUAUCCGGAUUUACUGGGUGUAAAGGGGGCGCAGACGGCGAUGCAAGCCAGGAGUGAAAGCCCGGGGCCCAACCCCGGGACUGCUCUUGGAACUGCGUGGCUGGAGUGCAGGAGGGGCAGGCGGAAUUCCUGGUGUAGCGGUGAAAUGCGUAGAUAUCAGGAGGAACACCGGUGGCGAAGGCGGCCUGCUGGACUGCAACUGACGUUGAGGCCCGAAAGCGUGGGGAGCAAACAGGAUUAGAUACCCUCGUA